GGGGGUAUAGCACAGUUGAUAGAGUGUUUGCCUUCUAUGCAUAAAGGCCCUGGGUUCAAUCCCCAGCACCACAC
Molecule: non-coding RNA, 74 nt
Organism: Ictidomys tridecemlineatus (thirteen-lined ground squirrel)
Lineage: Eukaryota; Metazoa; Chordata; Mammalia; Rodentia; Sciuridae
Source: Rfam